UAGGGAAUAUUGGGCAAUGGGCGAGAGCCUGACCCAGCCAUGCCGCGUGCAGGAAGAAGGCCUUAUGGGUUGUAAACUGCUUUUGAUCGGGAACAAAGAUACCAUGCGUGGUAAGUUGAGUGUACCGAUAGAAUAAGCACCGGCUAACUCCGUGCCAGCAGCCGCGGUAAUACGGAGGGUGCAAGCGUUGUCCGGAUUUAUUGGGUUUAAAGGGUGCGUAGGCGGCUUUUUAAGUCAGUGGUGAAAUCCUGCAGCUUAACUGUAGAACAGCCAUUGAUACUGAAGAGCUUGAGUACAGACGAGGUAGGCGGAAUUUAUGGUGUAGCGGUGAAAUGCAUAGAUACCAUAAAGAACACCGAUUGCGAAGGCAGCUUACUAGACUGUCACUGACGCUGAGGCACGAAAGCGUGGGGAUCAAACAGGAUUAGAUACCCCCGUAGUCC
Molecule: ribosomal RNA, 443 nt
Filed under: uncultured bacterium
Lineage: Bacteria
Description: bacterial SSU rRNA
Rfam family: Bacterial small subunit ribosomal RNA
Source: RNAcentral